UGGGGAAUAUUGGACAAUGGGGGGAACCCUGAUCCAGCCAUGCCGCGUGUGUGAAGAAGGUCUUAUGGUUGUAAAGCACUUUAAGCGAGGAGGAGGCUCUUCUAGUUAAUACCUAGGAUGAGUGGACGUUACUCGCAGAAUAAGCACCGGCUAACUCUGUGCCAGCAGCCGCGGUAAUACAGAGGGUGCGAGCGUUAAUCGGAUUUACUGGGCGUAAAGCGUGCGUAGGCGGCUUUUUAAGUCGGAUGUGAAAUCCCCGAGCUUAACUUGGGAAUUGCAUUCGAUACUGGGAAGCUAGAGUAUGGGAGAGGAUGGUAGAAUUCCAGGUGUAGCGGUGAAAUGCGUAGAGAUCUGGAGGAAUACCGAUGGCGAAGGCAGCCAUCUGGCCUAAUACUGACGCUGAGGUACGAAAGCAUGGGGAGCAAACAGG
This 430-nucleotide ribosomal RNA is filed under the name bacterium. Its description in RNAcentral is "partial 16S ribosomal RNA". It matches the Rfam family "Bacterial small subunit ribosomal RNA", at positions 355 to 776 of the family's 1533-position model. The record is from RNAcentral.